AGCUUGCUCUUCAAAUCGAGUGGCGAACGGGUGAGUAACGCGUGAGGAACCUGCCUUGUACUGGGGGACAACAGUUGGAAACGACUGCUAAUACCGCAUAAGCGCACAGGAUUGCAUGAUCCAGUGUGAAAAACUCCGGUGGUAUGAGAUGGACCCGCGUCUGAUUAGCCAGUUGGCGGGGUAACGGCCCACCAAAGCGACGAUCAGUAGCCGGUCUGAGAGGAUGAACGGCCACACUGGAACUGAGACACGGUCCAGACUCC
RNAcentral lists this ribosomal RNA (263 nucleotides) under uncultured Lachnospiraceae bacterium. RNAcentral describes it as "partial 16S ribosomal RNA". It matches the Rfam family "Bacterial small subunit ribosomal RNA", at positions 77 to 339 of the family's 1533-position model. Lineage: Bacteria; Bacillati; Bacillota; Clostridia; Lachnospirales; Lachnospiraceae. The record is from RNAcentral.